GGACCCUUAGCUCAGUGGUAGAGCUUUGUACUUAUGAUGCAAAGGUCCCGAGUUCAACCCUCGGAGGGUCCA
Molecule: transfer RNA, 72 nt
Filed under: Phlebiopsis gigantea 11061_1 CR5-6
Lineage: Eukaryota; Fungi; Basidiomycota; Agaricomycetes; Polyporales; Phanerochaetaceae
Description: tRNA-Ile (TAT) (tRNA-Ile-TAT-1-1)
Rfam family: tRNA
About the family: Transfer RNA (tRNA) molecules are approximately 80 nucleotides in length. Their secondary structure includes four short double-helical elements and three loops (D, anti-codon, and T loops).
Source: RNAcentral